UCGGGAAUUUUGGGCAAUGGGCGAAAGCCUGACCCAGCAACGCCGCGUGAAGGAUGAAGUAUUUCGGUAUGUAAACUUCGUAAGAAUAGGAAGAAUAAAUGACGGUACUAUUUGUAAGGUCCGGCUAACUACGUGCCAGCAGCCGCGGUAAUACGUAGGGACCAAGCGUUGUUCGGAUUUACUGGGCGUAAAGGGCGCGUAGGCGGCGUGGUAAGUCAUCUGUGAAAUCUCCGAGCUUAACUCGGAACGGUCAGAUGAUACUGCUGUGCUAGAGUACAGAAAGGGCAAUCGGAAUUCUUGGUGUAGUGGUGAAAUGCGUAGAUAUCAAGAGGAACACCUGAGGCGAAGGCGGGUUGCUAGGCUGAUACUGACGCUGAGGCGCGAAAGCUAGGGUAGCAAACGGGAUUAGAUACCCAUGUAGUCCCUGAGCGGGCUGGCAAGGCGCAU
RNAcentral lists this ribosomal RNA (447 nucleotides) under uncultured bacterium. RNAcentral describes it as "bacterial SSU rRNA". It matches the Rfam family "Bacterial small subunit ribosomal RNA", at positions 355 to 825 of the family's 1533-position model. The record is from RNAcentral.